CUUUUGUGGUUUGACAAGCCAAACUGGUUCCCAUGUAUUUUGAAGGCCAGUUGAGCACAAACUCCUGUCCAGUAUCAUGCGUCUGAUGGGUUUUGAGCCUGUGUAUAUAAUGAUUUUUUUUUUNNNNNNNNNCCAGAUUGAUUUAUUGUUUAGGCUCAACCAGGCAAACUGCGAUUGCAAUUUUAGUUUUACAAAUCUCGGAUUGCUUGGUUGUAUCCAAUAAGAGGGGGGGAAAAAAAAAAAAAACCUUGUUGCCAUUACAGAGGGCAUGGCAUUAGAAUUUGUUUACUUGAACUAACCAAAGGUUGUAUCUUACUACUUUCAUCAUCACAUUAUUUCUU
Molecule: unclassified non-coding RNA, 341 nt
Filed under: Hevea brasiliensis (rubber tree)
Lineage: Eukaryota; Viridiplantae; Streptophyta; Magnoliopsida; Malpighiales; Euphorbiaceae
Source: RNAcentral